UAAAAAAAAAAAGGACUAAGAAAAACCGAAAACGCGAUUUAUUCACUGCUCUCGUUCGCGCACAAAUCUCUCCUAAAUAUUAUUAGGUAUCGGCUAUAUAAUAAUCGGCGGUAGCACGGCGUACGUAACGCAAACGAACACAAAAUAUACACAACGAUUGGCACGCACGUGGACCGAGGACGCCGGGACAAAGUCGACAAACACGACGAACGGGGGUACGCUGAGAACUGAACCGGACGGCCA
Molecule: non-coding RNA, 243 nt
Organism: Cinara cedri
Lineage: Eukaryota; Metazoa; Arthropoda; Insecta; Hemiptera; Aphididae
Source: the annotation of a GenBank genome assembly